Molecule: ribosomal RNA, 572 nt
Filed under: Anaeromassilibacillus sp. An250
Lineage: Bacteria; Bacillati; Bacillota; Clostridia; Eubacteriales; Acutalibacteraceae
Description: Bacterial large subunit ribosomal RNA
Rfam family: Bacterial large subunit ribosomal RNA
Source: Rfam by way of RNAcentral
CAGACAACCAGGAUGUUGGCUUAGAAGCAGCCACUCAUUAAAAGAGUGCGUAAUAGCUCACUGGUCGAGUGACCCUGCGCCGAAAAUUUAACGGGGCUAAACAGUAUACCGAAGCUUGGGAUUCCGUAAGGGAUGGUAGGAGAGCGUCGAAUGAGGGGUGAAGUCAUAGCGGAAGCGGUGGUGGACUUCAUUCGAGUGAGAAUGCCGGAAUGAGUAGCGCGAAAUGUGUGAGAAUCAUAUUGGCCGAAAGUCUAAGGUUUUUGGAGGAAGGUUCGUCCGCUCCAAGUAAGCCGGGAGCUAAGGCGAGGCCGAAAGGCGUAGUCGAUGCACAUACGGUGGAAAUUCCGUAGCCGCCGAAAGAUUUAAGAUAAGUGACACCCUGGAAAGGCAUGACCCGGGCGAUGGUUGCCCCGGGCGUAAGGGACCGAAAUUAGAGUAGGGAAGCAUGUUAGACCGGGGGCGAGAAAAGCUUAUUGUAUAUCUUAGGCGCCCGUACCGCAAACCGACACAGGUAGAUGGGAAGAGAAUUCUAAGGCCAACGGGAGAAGGGUAGUUAAGGAACUCGGCAAAUU